RNAcentral lists this ribosomal RNA (420 nucleotides) under uncultured bacterium. RNAcentral describes it as "bacterial SSU rRNA". It matches the Rfam family "Bacterial small subunit ribosomal RNA", at positions 358 to 770 of the family's 1533-position model. The record is from RNAcentral.
GGAAUAUUGGACAAUGGGGGCAACCCUGGUCCAGCCAUGCCGCGUGUGUGAAGAAGGCUUUCGGGUUGUAAAGCACUUUCAGUGAGGAGGAAAACCUUGCGACUAAUACUCGUAAGGCUUGACGUCACUCACAGAAGAAGCACCGGCUAACUCCGUGCCAGCAGCCGCGGUAAUACGGAGGGUGCAAGCGUUAAUCGGAAUUACUGGGCGUAAAGCGAGUGUAGGCGGCUACGUAAGUCGGUUGUGAAAUCCCCGGGCUUAACCUGGGAAUUGCGAUCGAUACUGCGUAGCUAGAGUCUGAUAGAGGGAAGUGGAAUUCCAGGUGUAGCGGUGAAAUGCGUAGAUAUCUGGAGGAACAUCAGUGGCGAAGGCGGCUUCCUGGAUCAAGACUGACGCUCAGGCUCGAAAGCGUGGGUAGCA